RNAcentral lists this ribosomal RNA (482 nucleotides) under uncultured bacterium. RNAcentral describes it as "partial 16S ribosomal RNA". It matches the Rfam family "Bacterial small subunit ribosomal RNA", at positions 30 to 507 of the family's 1533-position model. The record is from RNAcentral.
AUUGAACGCUGGCGGCAUGCUUUACACAUGCAAGUCGAACGGUAACAGGCCGCAAGGUGCUGACGAGUGGCGAACGGGUGAGUAAUGCAUCGGAACGUGCCCAGUCGUGGGGGAUAACUACUCGAAAGAGUAGCUAAUACCGCAUACGAUCUAUGGAUGAAAGCGGGGGACCGUAAGGCCUCGCGCGAUUGGAGCGGCCGAUGUCAGAUUAGGUAGUUGGUGGGGUAAAGGCUCACCAAGCCAACGAUCUGUAGCUGGUCUGAGAGGACGACCAGCCACACUGGGACUGAGACACGGCCCAGACUCCUACGGGAGGCAGCAGGGGGGAAUUUUGGACAAUGGGCGCAAGCCUGAUCCAGCAAUGCCGCGUGCAGGAAGAAGGCCUUCGGGUUGUAAACUGCUUUUGUACGGAACGAAACGGCUCUGGUUAAUACCCGGGGCUAAUGACGGUACCGUAAGAAUAAGCACCGGCUAACUACGUG